RNAcentral lists this ribosomal RNA (444 nucleotides) under uncultured eukaryote. Its description in RNAcentral is "bacterial SSU rRNA". It matches the Rfam family "Eukaryotic small subunit ribosomal RNA", at positions 592 to 1018 of the family's 1831-position model. The record is from RNAcentral.
CAAGAGCGUAUAUUAAAGUUGUUGCAGUUAAAAAGCUCGUAGUUGGAUUUCUGGUACAAUGCGCCUGGCCCGCGGCGGUUACGUCUGUGAGUGCCGGUGCGCGUUUGCCAUCCUUCUAGAGAACGUUUCUACCCUUCACUGGGCCGGACUCGCGAUCUAGAUCUUUUACUUUGAAAAAAUUAGAGUGUUUAAAGCAGGCUUUUGCUGUGAAUACAUUAGCAUGGAAUAAUAAUCUAGGACUUCGGUUCUUAUUUUGUUUGGUUUCUUAGUACUGAAGUAAUGAUUGAUAGGGAGUAGUUGGGGGUUGGCUAGUAUUGGUCCGGCCCGAGAGGUGGAAAUUACUUUGGUAUUCGGUUCAAGACUAACUUAUGCGAAAGCAUUCACCAAGGAUGUCUUCUUUAAUCAAGAACGAAAGUUAGGGGAUCGAAGAUGAUCAGAUACCAU